AGAUUGAAAGCCUCAAAGUGCAGGCAGAACUGGUGACCGAAACAGUUAAAAACCGUCAACAUCCAUGUAGCAUUCUCAACUUCUUGAGGAUUAGAUUUGACAUAACGAUGAUUGAAGGUACAGCCAUCAUGCAUAUCAACUUUGUGAUCAUCUUUUAGGUGUGCAACGAGGUACUGAAUAUCACCGGUAACAGCGCAUUCAGAUCCUGCAUAUGGGCAAUUGUAUGGUCGAAAUCUGCAGUUCUGCUCAUGACGAAGCCUAGUAUGAUAAGUGAAUAUAUCUUGACAGCCAUAAAUUUGGUAUCGGCACGGCAAUUCUAGUGACUCAGCAAUUUUUUCCAGUGCUAAACAUCUUAUGUUUCCAAGCUCAUGGCGGCAAAUUGGACACACAUGUACUUUUGACUUGCACUUCACGCAUAACGUGUGGCCGUUUGGACACUGGUGAAUUGGUGGAUACAUUGGAUUCAUACAAACAGGGCAUUCAAGUAGCUCAUGAACAGCACUAUUAGAUCCAACUCCAUUCUUCCCACCAAUAACAGCUGCAGCUUUUCUAAAGGGGGAGUUUUUGAACUCAGCACUUUCUGGUGCAAUACCAUAGUCAGAAUAUGCACUGCGGGAAUCACCAAUAUCCUGGUAGUUACUGCCUCCGGGAGCCAUGGUAUCUAUAUAAACUACUAUGUGUUGACAACAAUAUAUAUCCUCCACAAAUCUGAUCUUCUAGCUCUCUUGACGGCCCUGAUCCAAGAUAAGAUUUUGUACGUAAAAGCCAGAUUAACUCAUCCCAUUCUCAACAAAAGCAACCAAUAAUUGGGUCUUCCUGAUAGGCUUCAUCAACAACAAAAAAAAGGAAAACAAAGACAAAAACCAAGAACAGAAAAUGAAAGGGUCUUAACAAAAGGGUAAGAGUGGGUGGUUGAGAUGCACCAAAUAUCCUUAAAAGCUUUCUCCUUGAUUUUCGUGUCCACCAAAACAGGCUCUUGUUUUUUCAACAGUAAAUCUGAGAAAACAAAACCAUUUGUUUGUUUCUCUUUACAAGUAUACAAAUCUAAAGGGUAACAAGAGUCAAAGAUUUGAAAAGGG
This 1079-nucleotide unclassified non-coding RNA is filed under the name Hevea brasiliensis (rubber tree). The record is from RNAcentral. Lineage: Eukaryota; Viridiplantae; Streptophyta; Magnoliopsida; Malpighiales; Euphorbiaceae.